AAAUCCCAAAGCUUAACUUUGGAACUGCAAUUAAAACUGCUCGACUAGAGUUUGAUAGAGGAAAGCGGAAUACAUAGUGUAGAGGUGAAAUUCGUAGAUAUUAUGUAGAACACCAGUUGCGAAGGCGGCUUUCUGGAUCAACACUGACGCUGAGGCGCGAAAGUAUGGGUAGCAAAGAGGAUUAGAUACCCUCGUAGUCCAUACCAUAAACGAUGAUUGCUAGAUGUUGGAAAUUUAUUUUCAGUAUCGCAGCUAACGCAUUAAGCAAUCCGCCUGGGGAGU
RNAcentral lists this ribosomal RNA (282 nucleotides) under uncultured Alphaproteobacteria bacterium. Its description in RNAcentral is "partial 16S ribosomal RNA". It matches the Rfam family "Bacterial small subunit ribosomal RNA", at positions 597 to 881 of the family's 1533-position model. The record is from RNAcentral. Lineage: Bacteria; Pseudomonadati; Pseudomonadota; Alphaproteobacteria.